Molecule: ribosomal RNA, 759 nt
Filed under: uncultured bacterium
Lineage: Bacteria
Description: bacterial SSU rRNA
Rfam family: Bacterial small subunit ribosomal RNA
Source: RNAcentral
AUUGAACGCUGGCGGCAGGCCUAACACAUGCAAGUCGAACGGUAGCAGGAAGAAGCUUGCUUCUUUGCUGACGAGUGGCGGACGGGUGAGUAAUGUCUGGGAAACUGCCCGAUGGAGGGGGAUAACUACUGGAAACGGUAGCUAAUACCGCAUAACGUCUUCGGACCAAAGAGGGGGACCCUCGGGCCUCUUGCCAUCGGAUGUGCCCAGAUGGGAUUAGCUAGUAGGUGGGGUAACGGCUCACCUAGGCGACGAUCCCUAGCUGGUCUGAGAGGAUGACCAGCCACACUGGAACUGAGACACGGUCCAGACUCCUACGGGAGGCAGCAGUGGGGAAUAUUGCACAAUGGGCGCAAGCCUGAUGCAGCCAUGCCGCGUGUAUGAAGAAGGCCUUCGGGUUGUAAAGUACUUUCAGCGGGGAGGAAGGGAGUGAGGUUAAUAAGCUCAUUCAUUGACGUUACCCGCAGAAGAAGCACCGGCUAACUCCGUGCCAGCAGCCGCGGUAAUACGGAGGGUGCAAGCGUUAAUCGGAAUUACUGGGCGUAAAGCGCACGCAGGCGGUCUGUCAAGUCGGAUGUGAAAUCCCCGGGCUCAACCUGGGAACUGCAUUCGAAACUGGCAGGCUUGAGUCUCGUAGAGGGGGGUAGAAUUCCAGGUGUAGCGGUGAAAUGCGUAGAGAUCUGGAGGAAUACCGGUGGCGAAGGCGGCCCCCUGGACGAAGACUGACGCUCAGGUGCGAAAGCGUGGGGAGCAAACAGG